GAUUCUGGCUCAGGACGAACGCUGGCGGCACGCUUAACACAUGCAAGUCGAGCGGAGUUAUUGGAGCUUGCUUGAAUAACUUAGUGGCGGACGGGUGAGUAACACGUGAGCAAUCUGCCCUUAAGAGGGGGAUAGCAGUUAGAAAUGACUGAUAAUACCGCAUAAGAUAGUAGUACCGCAUGGUACAGCUAUAAAAGAUUUUAUCGCUUAAGGAUGAGCUCGCGUCUGAUUAGCUGGUUGGUGAGGUAACGGCUCACCAAGGCAACGAUCAGUAGCCGGACUGAGAGGUUGGACGGCCACAUUGGGACUGAGACACGGCCCAGACUCCUACGGGAGGCAGCAGUGGGGAAUAUUGCACAAUGGAGGGAACUCUGAUGCAAGCGAUGCCGCGUGAGGGAAGAAGGUUUUAGGAUUGUAAACCUCUGUUGACAGGGACGAUAAUGACGGUACCUGUUGAGGAAGCUCCGGCUAACUACGUGCCAGCAGCAGC
This 490-nucleotide ribosomal RNA is filed under the name uncultured bacterium. RNAcentral describes it as "bacterial SSU rRNA". It matches the Rfam family "Bacterial small subunit ribosomal RNA", at positions 15 to 518 of the family's 1533-position model. The record is from RNAcentral.